RNAcentral lists this ribosomal RNA (1024 nucleotides) under uncultured bacterium. Its description in RNAcentral is "bacterial SSU rRNA". It matches the Rfam family "Bacterial small subunit ribosomal RNA", at positions 10 to 1024 of the family's 1533-position model. The record is from RNAcentral.
AGUUUGAUCCUGGCUCAGAUUGAACGCUUUCGGCAUGCCUUACACAUGCAAGUCGAACGGCAACACUGGAGCUUGCUCCUGGAGGCGAGUGGAGAACGGGUGAAUAAUAUAUCAGAACGUACCCUAGAGGGGGAGAUAACGCAGAAAAAGUUGCUCUAAUACCGCAUACCAUCUACGGAUGAAAGUGGGGGAUCGCAAGACCUCAUGCUCAUGGAGCGGCCAAUAUCUGAUUAUCUAGGUGGUGGGGAAAAGGCCUACCAAGGCAUCAAUCAGUAGCUGGUCUGAAAGGACAACCACCCACACUGGAACUGAAACACGGUCCAAACUCCUACGGAAGGCAGCGGGGGGGAUUUUUGAACAGUGGGGGCAACCCUGAUCCACCAUUGCCGCGGGAGUGAAGAAGGCCUUCGGGUUGAAAAGUUCUUUUGUCAGGGAAGAAACGGUGAGGGCUAAAUAUCCUUUGCUAAUGACGGUACUUGAAGAAUAAGCACCGGCUAUCUACGUGCCAGCAGCCGCGGUAAUAUGUAGGGUGCAAGCGUUAAUCGGAAUUACUGGGUGUAAAGCGUGCGCAGGCGGUUAUGUAAGUCAGAUGUGAAAUCCCCGGGCUCAACCUGGGAAUGGCAUUUGAGACUGCAUGGCUAGAGUGUGUCAGAGGGGGGUAGAAUUCCACGUGUAGCAGUGAAAUGUGUAGAGGUGUGGGGGUUUCCCGGUGGCGGGGGCCGCCCCCUGGGAUUCCUCUGGCGCUCCUGCGCGAGCGCGUGGGGCGCAAAAAGGUUUUGNUCCCCUGGUNGUCCNCGCUCUNCCCCCUCAUAGGAGUUGUCGGGGCUUAAUUGUCUUGGUAACCCAGCUAACGCGUGAAAGUAGACCGCCUGGGGAGUACGGUCGCAAGAUUAAAACUCAAAGGAAUUGACGGGGACCCGCACAAGCGGUGGAUUAUGUGGAUUAAUUCGAUGCAAACGCGAAAAACCUUACCUGGCCUUGACAUGCCACUAACGAAGCAGAGAUGCAUUAGGUGCCCGAAAGG